This 440-nucleotide ribosomal RNA is filed under the name uncultured bacterium. RNAcentral's name for it is "partial 16S ribosomal RNA". It matches the Rfam family "Bacterial small subunit ribosomal RNA", at positions 338 to 795 of the family's 1533-position model. The record is from RNAcentral.
CCUACGGGAGGCUGCAGUGGGGAAUAUUGCACAAUGGGGGAAACCCUGAUGCAGCGACGCCGCGUGAGCGAUGAAGUAUUUCGGUAUGUAAAGCUCUAUCAGCAGGGAAGCAACUGACGGUACCUGACUAAGAAGCCCCGGCUAACUACGUGCCAGCAGCCGCGGUACUACGUAGGGGGCAAGCGUUAUCCGGAUUUACUGGGUGUAAAGGCAGCGUAGACGGUCCUGCAAGCCAGAUGGGAAAGCCCGGGGCGCAACCCCGGGACUGCAGUUGGAACUGUAAGGCUAGAGUGUAGGAGAGGCAGGCGGAAUUCGUAGUGUAGCGGUGAAAUGCGUAGAUAUUAGGAGGAACACCAGUGGCGAAGGCGGCCUGCCGGACGAUGACUGACGUUGAGGCUCGAAAGCGUGGGGAGCAAACAGGAUUAGAUACCCGGGUAGUC